RNAcentral lists this ribosomal RNA (510 nucleotides) under uncultured Glomus. RNAcentral describes it as "SSU rRNA". It matches the Rfam family "Eukaryotic small subunit ribosomal RNA", at positions 569 to 1081 of the family's 1831-position model. Lineage: Eukaryota; Fungi; Glomeromycota; Glomeromycetes; Glomerales; Glomeraceae. The record is from RNAcentral.
AGCAGCCGCGGUAAUUCCAGCUCCAAUAGCGUAUAUUAAAGUUGUUGCAGUUAAAAAGCUCGUAGUUGAAUUUCGGGGUCAGUAGGUUGGUCAUGCCACUGGUAUGUACUGGCCUCACUGAUUCCUCCUUCCUGAUGAGCCGUAAUGCCAUUAAUUUGGUGUUGCGAGGAAUCUGGACUGUUACUUUGAAAAAAUUAGAGUGUUUAAAGCAGGCUAACGCUUGAAUACAUUAGCAUGGAAUAAUGAAAUAGGACGUUCGAUCUUAUUUUGUUGGUUUCUAAGAUUGACGUAAUGAUUAAUAGGGAUAGUUGGGGGCAUUAGUAUUCAAUUGUCAGAGGUGAAAUUCUUGGAUUUAUUGAAGACUAACUACUGCGAAAGCAUUUGCCAAGGAUGUUUUCAUUAAUCAAGAACGAAAGUUAGGGGAUCGAAGACGAUCAGAUACCGUCGUAGUCUUAACCAUAAACUAUGCCGAUUAGGGAUCGGAUGAUGUUAAUUUUUAAUGACUCAUUC